Molecule: ribosomal RNA, 569 nt
Filed under: uncultured beta proteobacterium
Lineage: Bacteria; Pseudomonadati; Pseudomonadota; Betaproteobacteria
Description: bacterial SSU rRNA
Rfam family: Bacterial small subunit ribosomal RNA
Source: RNAcentral
AGAAAUGGACAGCGAGUGGACCCGAAAGGGAAACAGCAACACAGGUGGCUGCAUGGGCUGUGCGUGCAGCUCGUGUGCGUGAGAUGGUGUCGGGUGUAAGUGCCCGCAACGAGCGCAACCCUUGCCAUUAGUUUGCUACAGUUCAGUUGAGCACUCUAAGUGGGACUGCCGGUGACAAACCGGAGGAAGGUGGGGAUGACGGUCAAGUACUCAUGGCCCUUAGUGGGGUAGGGCUACACACGGUCAUACAAUGGCGCGGUACAGAGGGUUGCCAACCCGCGAGGGGGAGCCAAUCCCAGAAAGCGCGUCGUAGUCCGGAUUGGAGUCUGCAACUCGACUCCAUGAAGUCGGAAUCGCUAGUAAUCGCAGAUCAGCAUGCUGCGGUCAAUACGUUCCCGGGCCUUGUACACACCGCCCGUCACACCAUGGGCAGUGGGUUUCACCAGAAGCAGGUAGCCUAACCGCAAGGCAGGGCGCCUACCACGGUGAAAUUCAUGACUGGUGGUGAAGUCGUAACAAGGUUCCGGAAUANGAGNUGGAAUUAAACAAGCAUCACUUCAUAAUCACCC